RNAcentral lists this long non-coding RNA (32634 nucleotides) under Vitis vinifera (wine grape). RNAcentral's name for it is "long non-coding RNA (VVIN_LNC003204)". The record is from RNAcentral. Lineage: Eukaryota; Viridiplantae; Streptophyta; Magnoliopsida; Vitales; Vitaceae.
GUUGAUUGGUGAAAUUCCAAAGAAAAUGAAUCAUCUUCAGAAUCUGAAGGUAUUGUCAUUCCCAAUGAACAACUUAACAGGUUCCAUACCGGCCACCAUUUUCAACAUAUCUUCUUUGCUCAAUAUUAGUCUCUCCAAUAAUAACCUCUCUGGGAGUCUUCCCAUGGAUAUGUGCUACGCCAAUCCAAAGCUCAAGGAGCUUAAUCUUUCAUCAAAUCAUUUGAGUGGAAAGAUCCCCACUGGUUUAGGCCAAUGUAUACAGCUUCAAGUAAUUUCCUUAGCAUAUAAUGAUUUCACGGGAAGCAUACCAAAUGGAAUCGGUAACUUGGUGGAGCUUCAGAGAUUGUCUCUACGGAAUAACAGCCUGACAGGUACACUUUUUCUUUCAUCUAUUUUUUUUUUCCUUUUUAUUCUCUCACUUUCCCUCAAGCUUCAGAGAUUGUUUUUCCGACCCAUUCAUUUUAAAUGUGUUGUAGGAGAAAUCCCCUCCAAUUUGUCGCAUUGCAGAGAGCUUCGAGGGCUAUCAUUAUCAAUCAAUCAGUUCACUGGAGGCAUUCCACAAGCCAUAGGGAGUUUAUCCAACCUUGAAGAAUUAUAUCUUAAUUAUAACAAAUUGACAGGUGGAAUUCCUAGAGAGAUUGGGAAUCUUUCAAAUUUAAAUAUUUUGCAGUUAGGAUCUAAUGGAAUCAGUGGCCCUAUUCCUGCCGAAAUUUUCACUGUCUCUUCGUUGCAAAGGAUUAUAUUCGCGAAUAAUAGCCUUUCUGGGAGUCUUCCAAUGGAUAUCUGUAAACAUCUUCCUAAUCUCCAAGGGCUCUAUCUUUCUCAGAAUCAUCUCAGUGGUCAACUUCCUACAACUCUAUCCUUAUGUAGAGAGCUCCUAUCACUAGCACUACCAAUGAAUAAAUUCACAGGAAGCAUACCAAGAGAAAUUGGCAACUUAUCAAAGCUUGAAGAGAUCGAUCUCAGCGAAAAUAGCCUCAUAGGUUCCAUUCCAACUUCAUUUGGUAAUUUGAUGACCUUAAAAUUUCUUAGUUUUAACAUCUCUAAACUACAGACCCUUGGGUUGGUGCAAAAUCACCUUUCAGGCAGUCUCCCAUCAAGUAUUGGCACCUGGCUUCCGGAUCUUGAAGGGCUUUAUAUAGGAAUCAAUGAAUUCAGUGGAACAAUUCCAAUGUCUAUUUCAAAUAUGUCGAAACUUACUGUGCUAAGUUUAUCAGACAACUCCUUCACUGGUAAUGUGCCAAAAGAUCUCUGUAACCUGACAAAGCUUCAAUUUCUCGACCUUGCAUACAAUCAAUUGACUGAUGAACACUUAGCCUCUGGGGUUGGUUUUCUUACUUCUUUGACAAAUUGCAAAUUUUUGAGAAAUUUGUGGAUAGGUUAUAAUCCUUUGACAGGUACUCUUCCAAAUUCACUAGGGAAUCUUCCCAUUGCUCUUGAAAUUUUUAUUGCAUCAGCCUGCCAAUUCAGAGGAACCAUUCCCACAGGAAUUGGUAAUUUGACCAAUUUGAUAUGGCUGGACUUGGGAGCUAAUGACUUGACAGGGUCCAUUCCAACUACAUUGGGACAGCUACAAAAGCUUCAGGCAUUGUCCAUUGUUGGAAAUAGAAUACGAGGAUCCAUUCCAAAUGAUCUGUGCCAUUUGAAGAACUUGGGAUACUUGCGUUUGAGUUAUAACAAAUUGUCUGGAUCAAUCCCAAGUUGUUUUGGAGAUCUUCCUGCGCUACGAGAACUCUCUCUUGACUCCAAUGUGUUAGCUUUCAACAUUCCUAUGUCCUUUUGGAGCCUUAGAGAUCUGUUGGUUCUUAACUUGUCUUCAAAUUUCUUGACUGGUAAUCUACCUCCCGAAGUUGGAAACAUGAAGUCCAUUACAACAUUGGACUUGUCAAAGAACCUAGUUUCAGGUUACAUUCCAAGCAGGAUGGGAAAACUACAAAAUUUGAUUACACUCUCCUUGUCCCAAAACAAACUACAAGGCCCAAUACCUGUAGAAUUUGGUGAUUUGGUAAGCUUGGAAUCCUUGGAUCUAUCCCAGAACAAUUUAUCCGGAACCAUUCCCAAGACAUUGGAGGCCCUUAUUUAUCUCAAGUAUCUAAAUGUUUCUUUCAAUAAACUACAAGGAGAAAUUCCGAAUGGAGGACCUUUCGUAAAGUUCACUGCUGAAUCGUUCAUGUUCAAUGAAGCCUUAUGUGGAGCACCUCAUUUUCAAGUCAUGGCAUGUGAUAAAAACAACCGCACUCAAUCAUGGAAGACAAAGUCAUUCAUCUUGAAAUAUAUUCUAUUACCAGUCGGAUCAACAGUAACUUUAGUGGUUUUCAUUGUUCUGUGGAUACGUAGACGAGAUAACAUGGAAAUACCAACUCCAAUUGAUUCAUGGCUCCCUGGAACACAUGAAAAGAUUUCACACCAGCAGCUUCUUUAUGCAACAAACGACUUUGGUGAAGACAAUUUGAUUGGGAAAGGAAGCCAGGGCAUGGUAUAUAAAGGGGUAUUAUCUAAUGGCUUAACUGUUGCUAUAAAGGUUUUCAAUUUAGAAUUCCAAGGAGCCUUGAGGAGUUUCAAUUCAGAAUGUGAAGUGAUGCAAGGGAUUCGCCAUCGAAAUCUUGUUAGGAUAAUUACCUGUUGCUCAAACCUCGAUUUCAAAGCAUUGGUACUUAAAUAUAUGCCUAAUGGAAGUCUUGAGAAGUUGUUGUAUUCCCACUACUAUUUUUUGGAUCUCAUCCAAAGAUUAAACAUUAUGAUAGAUGUAGCAUCAGCAUUAGAGUACCUUCAUCAUGAUUGUUCGAGCCUUGUGGUGCAUUGCGACUUGAAGCCCAGUAAUGUUUUGUUAGAUGACGAUAUGGUUGCACAUGUGGCGGAUUUUGGGAUCGCAAAACUCUUGACUGAAACAGAGUCUAUGCAACAAACAAAGACCUUAAGCACAAUAGGCUAUAUGGCACCAGGUAAAGUUCCUUGCUACUUAUAUUCCUAUUUACUACAAAUUUUUUUUAAUAUCUACCUUAUUUUAUUUUUAUUUCUUCAAAUUUAUGACCAAAACUAACAUCACACACAAGCAGAGCAUGGCUCAGCUGGGAUAGUAUCCACAAAGAGCGAUGUUUAUAGCUAUGGGAUCUUGUUGAUGGAAGUAUUUGCAAGGAAGAAGCCUAUGGAUGAAAUGUUCACUGGGGAUCUAACCUUGAAGACUUGGGUAGAGUCAUUAUCCAAUUCAGUGAUACAGGUUGUUGAUGUCAAUCUAUUGAGAAGAGAAGAUGAAGACCUUGCCACAAAGCUAAGUUGUUUGUCCUCCAUUAUGGCUUUAGCUUUGGCAUGUACAACCGAUUCACCCGAGGAGCGGAUCGACAUGAAAGAUGCGGUAGUUGAACUCAAGAAGAGCAGAAUCAAACUAUUGAUGUAAGGAUUAUUUCAAAAGAUGGGAUGGAACUUAAUAACAUCAAAUUGUUACACAACAGUUGAUGUCAAUAGUUCAAAGGAAGCCAAAAGUCGGAAGUUGGAGCCGAUUAAGAGUGCACAAAGCAAUAUCCCAGGCACUGUUAAGUAUAUGUCAUGGGUCUAGAUGUUUAAUUUCUUUGGUAUUUUCCACAUGACAACCAAAUGUGAAAAAAUCAUUUUUCUGAGCAUUUUUCUUUCUUUCUUUAAUGCUUUUUGAGAACCAAACAUAAGCUAAGGGAUUCAUGGUGAUAGAUUAUAUUAAAAUAAUUUUCAGAUGAUUGAAAGAUCAUGAAAAUUAUGGUAUUAGUCUUGACUAAUAUCUUCAAUAGAAACAUAGUUUCCAAAUACAUGUAGUUUUAAUGAGAUAUGUGUGUUAAUGCUUGUUGUGUACUCAAGUAAUUUAGCAUAUCGAUUUCCUCUUCUUGCCUUGAUAGUCCAUCUAACCCAUGGCUCUAAAGGCAUUUUGGGUAAACUUGAGAGAACUACCUCAAUUCUUAUCCUAUCAUUGAUAUUAUUUAUGAUUUAUACAAGACUUGAAAAACUUGAAACUUUUAUCAAACAUGUGAUGAUUAACCUAAAAUAUAACAAUGAGAGGAACCAUUAAAAUAUUAUUUUAACAAUUUUAUUAAAAAUGCGGUGGAAAACCAAAAUUUGAAGAACCUGAUUAUUUUAGAUAGACUUGGAAAAUGACUAUUUAUGGAAGAAAUAUACAAUUUUAGUUGACAUACAUUUAAUUUGUACAUGGAAUUAGUUUUCCCUAAAUAUAAAAUGAAAACAUAAUUGUAUGUUAACUUGAGUAAAUUCUUCACAAUUUUAUUAAAUUUUUUAAAACAAUUGAAACAUUGAAAAAAAGAAAAUAAUGAAUUAACUAAAAUCUAAUUGUUCAAACAAAUUCAUAUUCAAAAUGGACCUCCAAGUUGUUAAUGAAUCAGCAACUUAAAAACAUAACACCUAAAUAAAAAUAUGAAUAGUAAUUACAAAUUAUGUACAGACCCAAACUAGACUUGAAUAUAGAAUUGUAUGCCAUGAAGAUAAAUUUGGGGUAAGAAAACUAGAUUAUGGAAUAUGAUUUUUUUCAUUACUCAAAUUUCAGACAAGCAACAAAUCAAAUCCUUGAAAAUAUGAUUGCAAUCGUAUUUUUAAUCUUUCCACAAUUUCAAAAAUUGAUGGAAAAAGAAAGGAAAAUAAGAUACAAUCUGGAAAUUUUUUCUUUUGUAAAAUUCCACAUUUUAUUAUAUCAACAAUUGGAUUUUAUGUAUGUAUUGGGACAUAUUAAAAAAUAUCGAUUUUCAUAGGUAUAUUGUUGCUAGGAACCCUGGAUCUCCUCAUUCCCAUAGCCUAGAUCGUAUAUGUAGAUUAAAAACUACCCUAGGCCUCUAGAUCUUAUGCAACGGAAGCAAAAUUAACAUAUUUUUACAAUUCUAAGCUUAAGAGGAAAACCAUUAGAAGACUUUACCGUUUAUUUGGAUGUUCCCAAAUCAAUUCUACUCGAAGAAUAUGAAGAACAAUGGAUUUGGAAGUCUAGUCUUCCACCUGAUGACUCAAAUCAUGAUCUUGACACUCCAAAGUGUGGAAAAUGAUGAUCUCUUGGCUCUCACUAUCUCUCUCUUUUUUUGGAGGUGGAAGGCAAAGUCUCUCUAAAGGUUGUGGAAACCUUAGUCUCUAUCAGUAUUUAUAGGAUUCCCUUACUAGGCUUAAGUGACUUGAGCCCACCAAGGCUUGGGUCACUUAAUCUAGCCCAAAAUGGAUCCUAAUUGAUUAAUUAACCACAUAGGGUUGUCUAAUUAAUCAAUUAGCCCAAUUCAGAGAACUUAUUUACUAUCCUUUGUGCAACCUUGCAUAGUUACCAAAACACCCUUAUGAACAAGAAUGAACCAAGAGUCAAUUCAUUCCUCAUAAAUCGUGUUAUCAUGAUAUAUGAGCUCAAAGCAGGGGCUAUUAGAACCCAUUGGAGUACUGGCUCCCUCAUAAUUCAAUUCUAAAGUUGAUUCAACAUUCCACUAAAGAGAAUCAAUUGCACUUUAGUAUCCUAUGUAAAUAACAACAAGUUGAAACUUGGGGUUCGUGACUUACUAUCCACUACAUGCAGACUCCGGUCCUAUGAACUAGUGUUUGUAAUCUAACAAGGUGGUGUUAUCACCUAUUAAGAUUACCUCUCCAAUCCUUGAGCUAUGAAUCCCACUUAUUAUGUGAUCAAUUGACAUACUCUAACUCUAAGGAGCAUAUGUCAAAUUACCUAUAAAGGAAAUGCUAUGACCAUAGUCUUCUAGAUCACAUAUCCUUUGGAUCACUCAAGGGGACACAUUGUCCCAUUUCAUGAGAUAUCAUGGUGCCUCUAUUGAGAAUACCUAUAUCACCAACCUCCAUCAACAGUGACCCAAUCCAUAGGAAUAUAUGACAACUUUAGGGUUUCACCCAUAGGUCAAAGCCUCAUGUUAACUUUGGCACAAGCUCAAUAUCCUUUCAAGGUUGAGAGUCCAUGCAGUAUAGUAGCUUGGUAAAUCAUAAUGAUUGAUAGCCUUGUGUCAUGAUUCAUCGUAGGUCUUGUCCAAUGCGCAUCAUAUGCUACACUCACCAUGACAAAACCAUUCCGACAACUAAAACAAGUCACCCCUCUAAUUAGGAGGCAGUGCACUACAAUCUCAGAUGGAUAGCCCAAAUCCAUGAACCUACUAUGGACAACUUAUCACUCUACAAGGAACCCAUGACUUGGAUCUUUUGUGCAACUCUUUACACACCCAAGUCAUGUACAAUGUAAGUGAUGUGGAGUGUGUAUGCUCAAAUAACCAAUUGAUACAAAUGAUAUAUUUAAGGGAAACCAAAAAACAUAAAUAAAUAAAUUUAUAAAUGAAUCUCAAUCUGUUACAUCAUGUCAUGCUUUCGAAGGCUCAAUCCCAACAAUCGCUAGUUGAAGUCAUUUGUUGCUUUAACCUACAAGUGAAACCCUAAGAUGGUUAUAUAUUCCUUAUGGAUUGAGUUGCUAUUGAUUAAGACAAGUGACAAAGGGUAUUUUUAAGAUAUGCACCAUGAUAUCUCAAACAUUUGAAAUAGUGUGUCCUCUUGGAUGAUUUUAAGGAUUUGUGAUCAUGAAAUCUAUAAUUGUAAUAAUUCCUUAAGUGGAAUUUGAUAUAUGCUCUUAUAAGUAAUAAUAUCUCAGUUGAUUACAUAAUAAACGAUUUAAGACUCAAGGAUAGUAGAGUGAUCUUAAGAGGAUGAUGACUAUACCUUAUUAGAUUACAUAUACUAGUUUAUGAAGAGUUUACAUACAAUGCUUAAUAAGUCACAAACUCGAAAAAUUGAUUAAAUUGAAUUUAAUCAAAUUUUUCUCUAUUUAAUAUCAUUAGGCUACUACUAGAGUAUUCUAGUUAACCCUUUAAAGUGGAAUGUUGAGUCAAAUUCAAAAUUGGAUUCUAAGAGAGCUAGUAUUUUCCUAGGGUCCUAGUGGUCCCUAUUUUGAGCUCAUACUCCUUGGUGACAUGUUACUUUCAGUGAUUUAUGGGUUUUUAUUCAUAUAUGUUUGGUAAAUAUGCAAGGUUGCACAAGAGUUUAUGAAUGGUUUUUUUGGAUUGGGCUACUUAAAAUUAAUUGGAGCCCAAUAUGGCUAACUAAUUAAUUAAGACCAAGUGGGCUAGAUCAAGUGAUCCAAGCCUAAGAUGGGCUUAACUCACUUAAGCUCACAAAAAAGUCUAUAUAAACCCUUUAGGGGUUUAGGGUUGGACACUCUUAACCAUUGUCUUCUAAAGAGAAAGCCCCAACUUUCAUCAUUGUUGAGAGAUAACUCCAUCAUUCAACUUGAAUAAUUCAAUGGGUUUGUAUGCUUUUAUCUCAUCUUUUACCAUUAGCAUAAUGAUAGGAGAAGGUACCUAGGAAGUAACUUUUGGAAGAACAUUUCAUGUUAUUCUUUUUAGGAUUCAUCAAAGAUGGGACCGAUAUGCAUUUCAAACCUAGAUAGAGUUUACCACAAUAAAGUGAUCACAUUAUUAUCUUUAGUAAAUUGUGAUAUACUUAAUAGGUUUUUGGUAAUGUGAGGAACAAAUAAAAUGUUGUUGAGAUGAAGAGGUUUAGAUUGUGCAUUUGAGUCAAUAAUAGUUGCUCCUAUAUGAGAAAUAGAUAAGUUUUUACCAUUACUUAUUAUUAAUUUGCCUUUGCUUUUUUAGUCAUUCUUGAGAGACAAGUUGUUGAGAUUUGAAGUAACUUGAUUGGUUGGACUACUACCCAUGUACCAAGAAGGAUUAUUCACAAUUUCUGGAGUAAUGAAGUAUGCUUGAGAAUUUUAAUAUUGAUUGUUGGCCUAAUGAGUUGUGGAAUUGUUGUUCUAACUAAUGUUUGUUACAAUGAGGCUAAGAUCAAAUCUAUGAUAACAUUUGAUUGCUUUGUGACCUGGUUAUCUUGGUGAUAACACUAUUGAUCUUGACAUUCAUGCUUUCAUUCAUUUUAGUUGUAAUGUAUUUGGAAAUUACCAUUGUUUUAUUGUUGUUGCAAGUGUAGUCUUCUUUUGCUGCAUAAUUUACAAAUAUUGUCAUAUCGAUGGAAAAAACAAUAUUCAACUAUUUUAAACACAAUUCUUGGCUCUAAAGGAGGAAUUGCAUUUCUUGUAAGGAGGUGUUGUCACUUCUUGAGGUGAUGUUCACUAUUACAAAAUUGUAUUCUAAUCUAAGACUUCCAAGAAUAUAAAGAGUCAAAUCAUCAUUUGAAAUAAUUUUUCCAAAAGCUAAGAGAGUAUCAACUAUGUUUCACAUCUUAACAAUAUAGUCAUUGAUCCUGAGGAACCCUUUUCUUGUAAGGUUGCAACAUAUAAUGGAGUUGCAUGGUUCUUACUUUGAAUUCCGAGAUGAAAAGUCUUUCCAAGGUAGACUAAAUAUUAGUAGAGUUGAUGCAGCAAGUAACAUGUCCAAACAUUGAUUUAGAGAUGGAUGUCAUGAGAAAUUGAUAAAGACACAAUAGGGUUUUCACAUCCAAAGUUUGGAAUUACCUAAAUUGAAUCUCCAAUCUUAACUUUGGUGGAUUGUAGUGGACAAAAUUUGGUUCUAGUGAGAAAGCCAUCAAGUUUGUAGGCUCUUACUAUUGGAAGAAUUUGAGAUCUCUAAAAGCUAUAGUUGUUUCAUUUGAUAGAUAAUUUUAAAAUUGAAAAUUUUGAUCCAAAAAAUUAAAUUAUUGAAAAAAAAACCAUAAUUUAAGGAAAUAUAUUAUACAUUAAAAUGUAAUCAAAUGUUUAAUAGAUAUCAAAGAAUUUAAUAUAUAUAUAUAUAUAUAUAUAUAUAUAUAUAUAUAUAUAUAUAUAUAUAUAUAUACUUAAUUUAAUUUAAUAUAAUUUAUUUAAAGCUAUAAUAUAGUAUUUACUUGUGUCAAACAAUAGUCGGUAUUUUUGUUGUUAAUACUCCUAAUAAAAAAAUUAAAAAAAAUUAAUUAGCUAAUUAUAUUCUAUACCCAACAUUUGUGUUAAGUGUAUAACUAAUUUUACAUAUUAUUUGGCAAUAUAUUAUAGAAUAAGAAACAUUAUUGUACACAAUUCAAAUCAUCAUAUAGGUUACAAAUUGCAUUCAAUCAAACCAAAAUGUGCUACCUAAAUGCUUGGCAGCCAUGAAUGUAUUAUUCAUAUGAUAAGUUUUCCUCCAUAUUAGUGCAAUGCAUGACACGUUUUCCUCAAUAUUGGUGCCUCUUUCAAAUAUUAUCAAGAUGUUUAAUUCCAAGGAACUAUUAAGAAAAAAAUAAAAUAAAGAAAAUAAUUUUUUUUUUAUUUUACUAUAAAAAAUACAUAAAAAUCAAAUACAAUUAAAAUCAAUUAAAAUUUAUCUAUUUUUAAAUUAUUUAAUCUUUAUAUAGAAGAGUUAAAACAAAUGGAUAUUUUUAAAUUAUUUAAUUUUUAUAUAGAGGAGUUAAAACAAGUGAAUGUGUUUGAAAUAACAUAUAAAUAAUCUAUUGACUUUAAAUUUAUUUUUUAUUUUUCUUUGCUUUUUUUAUUUUUCUAUUUUUUGUCUCCAUUUUCUUUCAUUCGUAUUUUCUUGGAAUCAAGCAAAACCUUUGACUAAUGUUUGAUUUCCAAAAAAUAUGAGGGAAAGAAAAUAAAGAGGAAACUUAAAAUAAAAAAAAAAUGAAUGAAAAAUAAAAAAUAAAUUUAAAGUUAAUAAAUUGAUUUUAUAUGUUUAUUCAAAUUUAUUUACUUAUUUUAAUUCUUCUAUAUAAAGAUUUAAAAAUUUAAAAAUACAUAAACUUUUAAUUAAUUUUAAUUAUGCUUUAUUUUCAUUUUUAUUUUCUCUAGUAAAAUCAAUCACGAGAAAAUUAUUUAUUUAUUUAUUUUUAAUGUUAGGUAAGUGCAAGGAGCUUCAACAACUGAAUUUAUUCAAUAAUAAACUAGUCGGAAGCAUUCCAGAAGCCAUUUGUAAUUUAUCAAAACUUGAAGAGCUAUAUCUUGGCAAUAAUCAAUUGACUGGUGAAAUUCCAAACAAGAUGAGUCAUCUUCAUAAUCUGAAGGUAUUGUCAUUCCCAAUGAACAACUUAACAGGUUCCAUACCAGCCACCAUUUUCAACAUAUCUUCUUUGCUCAACAUUAGUCUCUCCUAUAAUAGCCUCUCUGAGAGUCUUCCCAUGGAUAUGUGCUAUGACAAUAGCUUAAAUGUACUUGUUGUUAUCAAAUAACCGAUGUUCACCACCCACGUUCUGCUGCCCUGAAGUGGUCCAACACUUGGCCACGUCCUUCAUCAUGUAGCUGCUGUUAAGGAGCACGUUUCUAUCAACUGCUCAUCGUGUGGCAAAUCAAAGAAACGUGGCUUUGAUGGGAAGCCACGUUUUCUUUGUAUUUUAAAUAUCGGUCUUGGUCCCAAGCUCCUCUCUCAUGCUGCUGAAAAUCUUCAGAAAUUACACCAUCCAUAAGGAGAGAUAGAGUUUUGGAAACCAAAGACUUGCAACCCAACAAUGGCUGGAGGUAAGUAUGGCAUAAGUUACAUAUGAAUGAAUUGUUUAUAUGCAUUAUGAAUUGCCUACAUUUGGUAUCAGAGCCACUGAAAAUCUUUUCUCUGCCUUGAUAUCUAUUUUGUUGGAGACUUACUUAGUUAAUGGUUUCUCUUCUGGUUGUAAGAUACAAUCAUACAGAAAUAUCCAUAAGUUGAUCUCUCAAAUCACUGCUUUAAAAAUGAAAUACCCAUGCUUGAUCGAAACAUCUGAGAGGCGCAGCCACUCGGGUUCCAACUCAAGGCAUCACCACUUAGGCCCUCAGAAAUGCUUAGGCUCCAACCAGUAGUCUAACUGGUCCCCUAAUAAAUAAAUAAAAACUGCACCAGCCCCUCCACCUCAUGCCAUAGGCCCACUCUUUGAUGGUGGUGCCGCCCACUGCAAACAGCGCCAGCCUCGCCACCACAGGCCUCAGGCCUUCAUGGUAUCGAUAUUGGCAUGGAGGAGCUCGCGUAAAGGCAGGAAUGGAGGAAUCAGGGCUGCACUUCGGUGGAUGCAGCUCGUCCCAUUUGUGGUGGCUGUUGAAGUGCCGCUACAGGCACCCAUUAUGAGCACCAUUCAGGCGUUGUUGAAGUGCAGUUGCAGGCGCCCAUUCCGAGCGCCAUUCAGGCGCUAUUCAAGCAUCGUUGCUGGUGUUGGUUUCAGAGGCUACAAGCGCUAUUCAAACACCAUUGCUAGUGCUAGUUUCAACCUCUGAAGGCGCCAUUUUCAGGUAUUCAAGAAGCGCCAUUUCUGGUGUUGUUUUGGGGUUGCAGUGGUGAGCCGCUGCAGGCAUGAUGCUGACGUUGCUAGAAAAUCGGUCUGGUGUUGUUAUGGUGUCGCGGAUGAUGUGGCUACAGGCGACUAGGAGUCAUUAAGAUGCCAACGUGUUGAAUAUUGGAACCCAUAAGUUAAUUCAUAUAUUUAUAUACAAAAGACUAGAGAAAGAUGGGUUUUACUUUUGGGCCUUGACAUAAGGAAGCUAUUGGGCCCAUUAGGCAAAUUACAUGUGCAGUGAUCCAAUAAAAUUAUUAAAGUCUUUAAGUGUUGGGCCAUGGGUUAACUAUGAUAUUUAGGCUGAUUUAGGUUCUAAUGGCUCGGUUUGAAUUAUUUUAUUGAUUAUUUUUAUAUAUGUGAUCCUUUAUACAUGCAUAUUAAAUCAUUAAUUUUAUUGUUUGUAUGUAUAAAAUGUAGCUUAAUCUUGUGUUAGAUAAAUUAAAUGUUGUAGCUAUUGAUGCAUGCAAAUUUUAUCUAAAUUGUAUAAGAUAUAUUAAAAUAUAUAUAUCAUAUAGUUUUAAUGUCUAGUGAAACCAUAUGAUUUUUUAAAUAAUUAAGGAAUAGCCACAACAUCCUUAAUUAUAUAAAAAUUAUAUAUUAAGUAAAUAAGGAUCACAUUAUGGACAUUAAUUGUAAUUAAUUAUAUAAAUAUGAUGAUUUUGCCCCACAGGGUUUUCAUUAUGUUUAUAUAAUUAAUUAGGAUAAAAUAUUAAAAUUAAUUUUUCCUAAUUUACCCACAAGAGUUAGGAAGAAUUAAUUUAAUAGGUUUAUCAUAAAGAUUAUAGACAGAAAAUAUCAAACUAUAUUCAUAAUAAAUUUCAUAAUUCAAUAAAAUAGUUUGAUAAAGUCUAUCAUAAAGAUAAUUAAUUUGAUUGAAUUAAAGAUUUAGCCCACAGGCAAUUUUUAAUGAAAUUAGAUUAAAUUUUAAGCAUGUUCUACAUUGGUAAAGCAUGAAUUUAUAUUAAAGCCUCAAAAUUUUUUAAUAAGCUUGUAAUCCUUUUGUACAAUUUUACCUAGCAUAUCUGAUAUUCGUUGUGAGGUUCCCGAACUUAGAGGAGAUAACUUUAAGAUAUGGAAAGAGAGAAUUCUUCUUCAAUUAGGGUGCAUGGACAUAGACUAUGCCAUAAGGAAAGAUGAACCACAUAAGAUCACUAAUACCAGCACACCUGAACAAAUUUUAUUGUACGAACGCUGGGAGAAAUCUAAUCGCCUUAGCGUGAUGUACAUUAAGACAAAAAUCAGUGCUGGUAUACGUGGUUCAAUCGAGCAACAUGAAAAUGUUUGUGAAUUGCUAAAGGCUAUUGACAAGCAAUUCGUCACUUUAGAUAAAGCCUUGGCAAGCACCCUAAUUAUGAAGUUCACAUCCUUGAAGCUCACCGCUAUAAAAGGUGUGCGUGAACAUAUCAUGGAGAUGAGGGACAUUGUGGCUCAAUUGAAGAAACUCGAGGUAAAAAUGUCUGAAUCCUUCUUGGUGCACUUUAUCCUUAACACUCUUCCACCUCAGUAUGGACCUUUCAAAAUCUCUUACAACACACAUAAGGAUAAGUGGUCUAUCAAUGAAUUGAUGACCAUGUGUGUUCAAGAGGAAGGAAGGUUAAUGAUGGAACAAGGAGAAAGUGUCAUGUUGGUGACGCAAAGGAAAGGAAAGAAAGGAAAAUCUCAAGCCAGUCAGAAAGGGAAGCAACAAAUUUCUCCUAAAUCUGACAUUAAGAAAGACGAAAAGUGUUUUUUCUGUAAAAAGAAAGGACACGUGAAGAAGAAAUGUCUGAAAUUUCAGAAUUGGCUUGAGAAGAAAGGUAACCCUACCUCAUUUAUUUGUUAUGAAUCUAAUAUGGUUAAUGUAAACACCAACACAUGGUGGAUUGAUUCUGGAUCUACAAUCCACAUUUCAAAUUCCUUGCAGGGUAUGCAAAACCUAAGGAAGCCAGUGACAAGUGAGCAAUUCAUCUUAUCCGGAAACAAGAUGGGCUCGCAUGUGGAAGCAAUAGGGACAUGUUAUUUAACUUUAAAUAGUGGUUUUGUUUUAGAAUUGCAAAAGACCUUUUAUGUACCAAGUUUCUCACGAAACUUGAUUUCAGUUUCUAGACUUGUACCGUUUGGAUAUUCCUUUCAUUUUUCAGAAACAUCUUUCAGUUUGAUUUAUAAAUCUGAUUGUGUUGGGAAUGGUAUCUUGUCUGAUGGUCUUUAUUGUAUAUUCUUACAAAAUGAUAUCGUUCAUAAUUCAUUACAUGUCCAAACUGGCAUUAAGAAAUGUGUUGUAAAAGAGGAUUUCUCUACAUUGUGACACCGGAGAUUAGGUCAUAUCUCCAUAGAUAGAAUCAAAAGAUUGGUGAAUGAUGGGGUACUUAGUACUCUAGAUUUUACUGACUUUGAGACUUGUGUGGACUGCAUUAAGGGAAAGCAGACCAACAAGUCAAAGAGAGGUGCUACUAGGAGUUCUACCAUACUAGAGAUCAUACAUACUAAUAUAUGUAGUCUUGACAUGGACUCUCAUGAUCAGAAAUACUUCAUCUCUUUCAUAGAUGAUUUCUCACGAUACAUGUAUCUCUACAUACUUCAUAAUAAAAAUGAAGCUUUAGAUGCCUUUAAAGUCUUCAAGGCAGAAGUAGAGAAACAAUAUGGUAAACAAAUUAAGAUCGUGAGAUCAGAUAGAGGUGGAGAAUAUUAUGGUAGAUACUUGGAAGAUGGACAAUCACCUGGGCCAUUUGUGAAGUUUCUUCAAGAGCAUGGGAUUGUUGCCCAAUACACCAUGCCUGGUUCUCCAGACCAAAAUGGUGUAACAGAAAGAAGAAACCGAACUUUAUUGGACAUGGUGAGGAGUAUGCUUAGCAGCUCAAAACUUCAUAAAUUCUUAUGGACUGAAGCACUUAAGACAGCUGUGUAUAUAUUAAACCGAGUUCCAACCAAGGCUGUCCUAAAAACGCCAUUUGAGUUAUUGAAAGGUUGGAAACCGAGUUUGCGGCAUAUGCGCGUUUGGGGAUGCUCGUCUGAAGUGAGAAUUUAUAAUCCACAAGAGAAGAAACUGGACCCAAGGACUAUUAGUGGGUAUUUCAUUGGAUAUGUUGAAAAGUCCAAGGGGUAUAGGUUUUACUGUCCAUCUCACAGCACUAGGAUUGUGGAAUCAAGAAAUGCUAAAUUUCUUGAAUAUGACUUGGUCAGUGGGAGCGAUCAAUUUAGAAACAUAGUUUCUGAUAUUGAUCAUACAGAGUCUCAACCUUCCACUUCAAGCGAUAGAUUGUUUAUUGUUCAUAACACCCCUCAAGUACAAACGGGUGUUGAACGAAUAAUCGAUGAAGUUCAACCAGUCAUUGAAGUUCCACAAGUUGUUGACAACAUUCCAGUAGACCAAGUUGAUCAGGAGUUGCCUAACACUUCUGAACAACAAGUUGAACCUCAUACUUCCUCGGAAGAUAUUGGUGCAACCUUAAGAAGGUCUGCUCGAACUAAAAGGUCAGCAAUUCCUAGUGAUUAUGUAGUGUAUCUACAAAAAUCUGACUAUAAUAUAGGAGCCGAAAAUGAUCCCGAAUCAUUUUCACAAACCAUGAGUUGUAAAGAAUCAGAAUUGUGGUACAAUGCCAUGAAGCAUGAGAUGAGUUCCAUGAAGUGCAACGAUGUUUGGAACCUUGUUAAGUUGCCUAAUGGUGCAAAAACCAUUGGUUGUAAAUGGGUUUUUAAGACAAAGAAAGACUCAUUAGGCAACAUUGAGAGAUACAAGGCUAGACUUGUUGCAAAGGGGUUCACUCAGAAAGAAGGAAUCAAUUGCACAGAAACCUUUUCUCCUGUAUCUAAGAAAGAUUCCUUACGCAUUAUAUUGGCAUUAGUAGCCCACUUUGAUUUGGAAUUGCAACAAAUGGAUGUGAAAACAGCAUUUCUUAAUGGAGAGCUAGAGGAGGAGGUUUACAUGAAACAACCUGAAGGAUUCCCCUCUAGUGAUGGUGAGCAAUUGGUUUGUAAGCUUAAGAAAUCCAUAUACGGUUUAAAACAAGCAUCCCACCAAUGGUAUUUAAAAUUCCAUAACAUAAUUUCUUCAUUUGGUUUUGAAGAAAAUGUUAUGGAUCAAUGCAUAUACCUUAAGGUCAGUGAGAGUAAAGUUUGUUUUCUUGUUUUAUACCUGGAUGACAUCUUACUUGCAACCAAUGGUAAGGGUUUACUUCAUGAGGUGAAACAAUUCCUCUCUAAAAAGUUUGACAUGAAGGAUAUGGGUGAGGCAUAUUAUGUCAUUGGCAUUAAGAUCCAUAGAGACAGAUUUAAAGGUAUUUUAGGUUUGUCUCAAGAAACCUAUAUCAAUAAAGUUUUAGAGAGAUUUCGGAUGAAGAAUUGUUCACCUAGUAUUUCCCCUAUAGUGAAGGGUGAUAGGUUCAAUUUGAACCAAUGCCCGAAAAACGAUCUUGAGAGGGAACAAAUGAAGAACAUUCCAUAUGCUUCUGCAGUCGGAAGUUUGAUGUAUGCUCAGGUCUGCACAAGGCCUGACAUUGCAUUUGCUGUUGGAAUGUUAGGAUGAUAUCAAAGUAACCCAGGUAUAGAACACUGGAAAGCUGCAAAGAAUCUGAUGAGAUAUCUUCAAGGAACCAAAGAUUACAAGCUUAUGUAUAGACGAACAAGCAAUUUAGAGGUAGUUGGCUACUCAGAUUCAAACUUUGCUGGCUGUGUUAAUUCACGUAAAUCAACAUCUGGAUACAUUUUUAUAUUGCCGGUGGAGCUAUAUCUUGGAGGAGCGUUAAGCAGACCAUGACUGCUACUUCUACUAUGGAAGCUGAGUUCAUAUCUUGUUUUGAGGCUACUUCACAUGGUGUAUGGCUUAAGAGUUUCAUUUCCGGACUUAGAGUUAUGGAUUCAAUAUCUAGGCCAUUGAGUAUAUAUUGCGACAAUUCAGCUGCAGUCUUUAUGGCAAAGAACAAUAAAAGUGGAAGUCGAAGCAAGCACAUCGACAUUAAGUAUCUAGCCAUAAGAGAACGUGUUAAAGAAAAGAAAGUGGUUAUUGAGCACAUUAGCACUGAAUUGAUGAUUGUUGAUCCUUUGACUAAGGGCAUGCCACCGUUGAAAUUUAAGGAUCAUGUAAUGAACAUGGGACUUAGUUCCCUUAUGUAGUUUUUAUUGUACAAACUCUUAUUAUGAUGUUUUCUCAUAUUGAUGUGCACCUUUAUUUAAUUUUGAGAAAAUUGAACUUCAUUGGACCAAGAAUGAACAUAGGGUUUAUUCAUUAAGCAAUAUUGCCACAUAAAGUAAAAUGUUAAGAAAUGAAUACAUUGUAAUACAUGGAAGAUAACACUCGUUAUAUAGAGAACUUAUCGCCAUGAUUCAUAUAUUUGUUACUUAAUACGGAAAAAUGAUGAUCUAAGAUAGGACAUGAGGUUAAAAGUGUGGACCAAGUGGGAGAAUGUUAUCAAAUAAUCGACGUUCACCACCCACGUUUCGCUGCCCUGAAAUGGUCCAACACUUGGCCACGUCCUUCAUCAUGUAGCUGCUGUUAAGGAGCACGUUUCUAUCAACUGCUCAUCGUGUGGCAAAUCAGAGAAACGUGGCUUUGAUGGGAAGCCACGUUUUCUUUGUAUUUUAAAUAUCGGUCUUGGUCCCAAGCUCCUCUCUCAUGCUGCUGAAAAUCUUCAGAAAUUACACCAUCCAUAAGGAGAGAUAGAGUUUUGGAAACCAAAGACUUGCAACCCAACAAUGGCUGGAGGUAAGUAUGGCAUAAGUUACAUAUGAAUGAAUUGUUUAUAUGCAUUAUGAAUUGCCUACAUUUGUCUCAAAUCAUUUGAGUGGAAAGAUUCCCACGAGUUUAGGCCAAUGUAUAAAGCUUCAAGUAAUUCUCUUAUCACUUAAUGAUUUCAUGGGAAGCAUACCGAGUGGAAUAACAGCUUGAAAGGUACACUUUUUCUUUCUUUUUUAUUCUCAGUUUCCCUCAAGCUUUCAAAGAUAUAAGAAAAGCGUUAAUUGUUUGUCUAAUAUACUCAUUUUAAUUGUGUUGCAGGAGAAAUACCUCAAUUAUUGUUCAACAUCUCUUCCUUAAGGUUUUUGUCUCUAGUAGCAAAUAACCUAGAAGGUGAAAUCCCCUCCAAUUUGUCACAUUGCAGAGAGCUUCGAGUGCUAUCAUUAUCAUUUAAUCAACUCACUAGAGGCAUUCCACAAGCCAUAGGGAGUUUAUGUAAUCUUGAAGAAUUAUAUCUUGCUUUUAACAAAUUGACAGGUGGAAUUCCUAGAGAGAUUGGGAAUCUUUCAAAUUUAAAUAUUUUGUAGUUAGCAUCCAGUAGAAUCAGUGGCCUAUUCUUCCUGAAAUUUUCAAUAUCUCUUCAAUGCAAUGGAUUGAUUUAGCGAAUAACAACCUUUCUGGGAGUUUUCCAAUGGAUACUUGUAAACAUCUUCAUAUUCUCCAAGGGCUCUAUCUUUCUCGGAAUCAUCUUAGUGGUCAACUUCCUACAACUCUAUCCUUAUGUGGAGAGUUCCUGUCAUUGGCACUAUACAUCAAUAAAUUGGCAACUUAUCAAAGCUUGAAGAGAUGUAUCUAGAUGACAAUAGCCUCGUAGGCUCCAUUCCAACUUCAUUUGGUAAUUUGAAGGCCUUAAAAUUGCCUCUGUUGGGUGCGAACAAUCUUACGGGAAUGGUACCAUAACCUAUUUUUAACAUCUCUAAACAAUAGACCCUUUCGUUGGUGCAAAAUCACCUUUCAGGCAGUCUCCCAGCAAAUAUUGGCACUUGGUUCCAGGAUCUUGAAGGACUUUUUAUAGGAGAAAAUGAAUUCAGUGGAAUAAUUCCAUUAUCUAUUUCAAAUAUGUCAAAACUUACCAACUUACAGAUAUGGGAUAACUCCUUCACUGGUAAUGUGGCAACAGAUCUCGGUAACCUGACAAAGCUUGAAUUUCUCAACCUUGCAUACAAUCAAUUAACUGAUGAACACUUAGCCUCUGGGGUUGGUUUUCUUACUUAUUUGACAAAUUGCAAAUUUUUAAGAACAAUUUGGAUAUAUUAUAAUCCUUUGAAAAGUAAUCUUCCAAAUUCACUAGGGAAUCUUCCCGUUGCUCUUAAAAGUUUUACUGCAUCAACCUGCCAAUUUAGAGGAACCAUUCCCACACGAAUUGACAAUUUGACCAAUUUGAUAUGGCUGGAACUGGGAGAUAAUGACUUGACAGGGUCGAUUCCAACUACAUUGGGACUGCUACAAAUGCUCCAACGAUUGGACAUUACUGGAAAUAGAAUACAAGGAUCCAUUCCAAAUGAUCUUUGCCAUUUGAAGAAAAAUUUAGGAUACUUGCUUUUGAGUUCUAACAAAAUGUUUGGAUCAAUCCCAAGUUGUUUUGGAGAUCUUCAUGCACUACAAGAACUCUAUCUUGAAUCCAAUGCGUUAGCUCUCAACAUUCCUUCAUCCUUGUGGAGCCUAAGAGGUCUAUUGGUUCUUAACUUGUCUUCAAAUUUCCUAGCAGGUAAUCUACCUCCCGAAGUUGGAAACAUGAAGUCCAUUUUCAAAGAACCUAGUUUCAGGUUACAUUCCAAGAAGGAUGGGAAAACUACAAAAUUUGGCUAAACUCUCCUUGUCCCAAAAUAGACUACAAAGCCCAAUACCUGUAGAAUUUGGUGAUUUGGUAAGCUUGGAAUCCUUGGAUCUGUCCCAGAACAAUUUAUCUAGAAUCAUUACCAAGUCAUUAGAGGCACUUAUUUAUCUCAAGUAUCUAAAUGUUUCUUUCAAUAAACUAUAAUGAGAAAUUCCGAAUAUAAAGGUCUUUCGUAAAUUUCAUUGCAGAAUCAUUCAUCUACAAUGGAGCCUUAUGUAGAGCACCUCAUUUUAAAGUCAUAACAUGUGAUAAAAACACUCGCAAUCAAUCAUAGAAGACAAAGUCAUUCAUUAAGAAAUAUAUUCUACUAACAAUCGCAUCAACAGUAACUUUAGUGGCUUUCAUUGUUUUGUGGAUACGUAGACGAGAUAACAUGGAAAUACCUGCUCCAAUCGAUUCAUGGCUUCCUGGAACACAUGGAAAGAUUUCAUACCAGCAGCUUCUUUAUGCAACAAACGACUUUGGUGGAGACAAUUUGAUUGGAAAAGGAAGCCUGGGCAUGAUAUAUAAAGGGGUAUUAUCUAAUGGCUUGAAUGUUGCUAUAAAGGUUUUCAAUUUAGAAUUCCAAGGAGCCUUGAGGAGUUUCAAUUCAGAAUGUGAAGUGAUGCAAAGGAUUCGCCAUCAGAAUCUUGUUAAGAUAAUUAAUUGUUGCUCAAACCUCGAUUUCAAAGCGUUGGUUCUCAAAUAUAUGCCUAAUGGAAGUCUUGAUAAGGGGUUGUAUUCUCACAACCAUUUUUUGGAUCUCAUCCAAAGAUUAAACAUUAUGAUAGAUGUUGCAUCGGCAUUAGAGUAUCUUCAUCUUGAUUGUUCAAGCCUUGUGGUGCAUUGCGACUUGAAGCCCAAUAAUGUUUUGUUAGAUGACGACAUGGUUGCUCAUGUGGCCGAUUUUAGGAUCACAAGACUCUUGAUUGAAACAAAGCCUAUGCAACAAACGAAGACCUUGGGCACCAUAGGCUAUAUGGCACCAGGUAAAGUUCCUCACUACUUAUAUGCCCAUUUACUACAAAAGUUUUUAUAUCUCUACCUUUUUUUUUUUUUUUUUUUCAAAUUUAUGAUCAAAACUAACAUCACGCGUAAGUAGAGUAUGGCUUAGAUGGGAUAGUAUCCAUAAAGGUUGAUGUUUAUAGCUAUGGGAUCUUCUUGAUGGAAGUAUUUGCAAGGAAGAAGCCUAUGGAUGAAAUGUCACUGGGGAUCUAACCUUGAAGACAUGGGUGGAGUCAUUAUCCAAUUCAGUGAUAGAGGUUGUUGAUGCCAAUCUAUUGAGAAGAGAGGAUUAAGACCUUGCCAUAAAGCUGAGUUGUUUGUCCUCCAUUAUGGCUUUAGCUUUAGCAUGUAAAGCUGAUUCACCUGAGAAGAGGAUCCACAUGAAAGAUGAGGUAGUUAAGCUCAAGAAGAUCAUAAUCAAACUUUUGAUAUAAGGAUUAUUUCAAAAGAUGUGAUGGAACUUAAGAAGAUAAAAUUUUUACAGAAAAGUUCAUGUCAAUAUUUCAAAGGAAGUGGGAAGUUAAAGUUGGAAUUGGUUAAGAAGUACACAAANNNNNNNNNNNNNNNNNNNNNNNNNNNNNNNNNNNNNNNNNNNNNNNNNNNNNNNNNNNNNNNNNNNNNNNNNNNNNNNNNNNNNNNNNNNNNNNNNNNNUUUUAAUGUGAUAUGUGUGUUAAGGCUUGUUGGGUCCUCAAGUAAUUUAGCAUAUGGAUUUCCUCUUCUUGCCUUAAUAGUCAAUCUAACCCAUGACUCUAAGGGCAUUUUUGGAAAACUUGAGAGAACUACCUCAAUUCUUAUCCUAUCAUUGACAUGAUUUAUGAUUUAUGAUAUAUGCAAGGAUUGAGAAACUUGAAACUUCUAUCAAACAUGUGAUGAGUAAAUAUAAAAUAUAACAAUGUGAGGAAACACUAAAAUAUUAUUCUAACAAUUUUAUUAAAAAUGUGGUGGAAAAUCAAAUUUUGAAGAAAUUAUUUUAGAUAGACUUGGAAAAUAACUAUUCAUGGAAGAAGUAUACAAUUUUAUUUGACAUGCAUUUAAUUUGUACAUGGGAUUAGUUUUCCCUAAAUAUAAAAUGCAAACAUAAUUGUUUGUUAACAUGAGUAAAUUCUUCACAAUUUCAUUAAAUUUUUAGAAACAACUAAGACAUUGACAAAAAGAAAAAAAGAAUUAACUAAAAUCCAACCAUUGAAACAAAUUCAUAUUCAAAUCUGCAACUUGAAAACUUCCUACUUAAAUAAAAAUAAGAAUAGUAAUUACAAAUUAUACACAUACCCAAACUAGACUUGUAGAUAGAAUUGUACGUCAUAGAGAUGAAUUUGGAGGAAGAAAACUAGAUUAUGGAAAAUAAUUUUUAUCGUUACUUAAAUUUCAAAUGAGCAACAAAUCAAAUCUUUGAAAAUAUGACUGCAAUCAUUUUUUUAAUCCUUUCACAAUUUCAAAAAGUGAUGGAAAAAUAAGGGAAAAUAAGAUACAUUCUACAAAAUUUCAUAUUUUAUUAUAUCAUAGUUAGAUUUUAUGGAUAUAUUGGGAUAUAUUGAAAAAUAUCAAUUUUCACAAGUAUAUCAGUAGUUAAGGUCAUUAGUGGCUUUAAUCUACAAGUGAGAACCUAAGAUGGUUAUAUAUAUAUUCCCUAUGUGGGUUACUAUUGAUUAGGACAACCGACAACAGGUACUUUUAAAAUAUACACCAUGAUAUCUCAUAGGUUUGAGAUAGUGUGUCUCUUUAGGUGAUCCUAAAGAUUUGUGAUCACAAAAUCUAUGAGCGUAAUAAUUCUUUUAGUGGAAUUUGACACAUGUUAUGAGACAGAAUGUCUCAAUUGAUUACAUAAUAAGAUGAUUUAAGACUUAAGGAAAAUAAAGUUAUCUUAAGAGGAUGACGACUAUACAUCAUUAGAUUAUAGACACCUAUCCAUGUAGAGCUUACAUACAAUGCUAAGUCACAAACCUAAAAUAUUGAUUAUAUCCAAUUUAAUCAAUUUUUUCUCUAGCUAAUAUCAUAGACUACUAGAGCAUUCUAGUUAACCCUCUAAAGUGGAAUGUUGACUCAACUUCAAAAUUGGAUUCUAAGGGAGUUAGUAUUUUCCUAGGGUCCUAGUGGUCCCUAUUUGAGCUCACACUCCUGGGUGACAUGUUAUUUUUAGUGAUUUAUAGGUUUUAUUCAUAUAUGUUUAGUAAAUAUGAAAGAUUGCACAAGAGUUUAUGAAUUGUUUUUUUGCAUUAGACUAUUAAAAAUUAAUUGGAGCCCAAUAAGGCUAACUAAUUAAUUAAGACUGAGUGGUUUAAAUUAAGUAAUCCAAACCUAAGAUGGGCUAAAUUCACUUAAGCCCACAAUAAAGUCUAUAUAAACCCUUUAGGGGUUUAGGGUUGGACUCUCUUAGCCAUUGUCUUCUAAAAAAAGAGAGCCCCAACCUCAAUCCUUGCUGAGAGAUAACUUCAUAAUUAAGUUUGAAUAUUUCAAUGGGUUUGUAUGUUUUUAUUUCAUAUUUUACCAUUAGAAUAAUGUUAGGAGAAUGUAUCUAAGGAGUAACUUCUGGAAGAACAUUUUGGUGUGUGUGUGUGUGUGUGUGUGUUUUUCAGAAUUUGUCAAAGAUGGGACUAAUAUGCCUUCCAAACCUAGAUGGAGUUGACUACAAUAAUAAAGUUACUGUAAUAAUAAACCAAUGGCACACGAUAUGUUUUUGGUGAUGCGAUGAACAUGUAAAAUGUUGUUGAGAUGAAGAGGUUUAGAUUGUUCAUUUGAGUUAAUAAUAGUUGCUCUUAUAUGGGAAAUAGAUAACUGAGAAAAUAAAGGCUAUGCUUAAUUAAGAAAAACACCCAAGAGGGGGGUGAAUUGGGUUUUUCAAAAAUAUUUUCAAUAACAACAAUUUCAAGCACAAUAUAAAUGAAAGUAAAGAGAUAGAGUUAGAGAAUUCAAACUCGGGUUUUAUAGUGGUUCGGCACUUCCUUACCUACGUCCACUCUCCUCAAUCUCCUAACCGAGUGAGGGUUCCACUAACUUGAAGCUUCAACAAAGCUUCUAAUCUUCUUACACUUGGAUUCCGGCUCCAAUGGGCUCUUACACAAUCUCUUCAAGAAUUACACCUCUUGAAGACUUAAACGCUUGGCUUUUACAAGAAUAAAACACUCAACCUAGCUCAAGAAUGGAUCAAAUACAAAACAAGGCUAGGAUGACUCACAAAGGUGCACUAAGGAGUAUGCAAAUGAUGAUUUAAUGCACCAAGAAAGAAAUGAGAGCCUUUUGAUCAAGAACAGGUAGGUAGACAAUUGAUUGCAAGUGUUCUCUUAUUCAUAAAUGAAGUGGAGCUCUUAAUUUAUAGGUUUCUAAGCUUGGGAGUCGAAAACAGCAAAAGGUACCCUCGACCGGUCAAGCUAUGGGUCGACCGGAUCACUAGCCGUUGGGCAUUAAAUGCUUUGACAGGUUACCGUUGCCUCGAUCGGACCUCGACCGGACAUCGACCGGGAAGGGUGUGAACCUCAACCGGGAAGAGAAGGCUACUGGAUGAGAGAGAGUGUUUUUGACACUCCUCGACCGGUCCUCGACCAAACAGGGUCAACCGGUCGACCGGUUCCCUAACCGGUUGAGCCGGUUGGCCAUAGCCUCGACCGGUUGAGCUUUUUGGCCCCGAAAACCUUCCUUUUGAGAUUCCUUUCUUUUCUACUACUUAAGCAAGGUCUUUAGGUGAAUAAAUAUGCCAGUUUUAAAACAUUUUGCCUAAGGUACAUUUGAUAAAACUCGGGUUUGAAUGAAUUUGAAAGUUUAAAGAAUAAACCGAGUUUUUCAAAGAUGCAUGAAAUGGAAUGAAAACCUUAAGUGCACCCAUGCAUUCAUUUUACAUUCAUUUCCUAUGAUCAAGGGACUUCCAAUAAUCUCGGUCUUGUAUCCAUUUGGUCCUUGGAUGAAUUUCCGAAAUUAUACCUGAGAUUCUUUACCAUUUAAAAUAAUUAGUCACUUAACCAUGAUUUGUUAUCAUAAAAACCCGAUUAGGAGAACCCUUGGGCUAACAAUAACUUUUGACUGUUAACUAUUAUCAAUUUGCGUUUACCUUUGUAGCAAUUCUUAAGAGAUAAGUUAUUGAGAUCUAAAGUAACAUGAUUGGUUAGACCACUACCCAUGUACCAAGAAGGAUCACUCACAGUUUUUGGACUAACGAAGUAUGUUUGAUAAUUUUGAUUUGGGUUGUUGGCCUUACGAGUUGUAGAAUUGUUGUUUUGACUAAUGUUUGGACUAGUGACGCUAAGAUAAAAUCUAUGAUAACAUUUGAUUGCUAUGUGGCCUAGUUUGCUUGGUGAUAACAUUAUUAAUCUUGAAAUUCAGAUAUGUGGUCUUCCUUUUGUUGCAUAAUUUGCAGAUAUUGUCAUAUCGAUGGAAAUAACAGUAUUUAACUACUCUAAACACAGUUCUUGGCUUUAGAGGAGGAAUUUCACUUCUUGUAAAGAGGAAUUGCACUUCUUAUAAGGAGGUGUUGUCAGUCCUUGAGGUGAUUUUCACUACUAUAGAAUCAUAUUUUAAUCCAAGACCUUCAAGAGUAUAGAGAGUCAAAUUAUCAUCUAAAAUAAUUUUUCCAAAAGCUGAGAGAGUAUCAAAUAUGUUUUACAUCUUAAGAACAUAGUCAUUGAUGUUGAGGAAACCUUUUCUUGCAAGAUUGCAACAUAUAAUGGAGUUGCAUGGUUUUUGCUUUGGAUUUUGAGAUGAAAAGUCUUUCUAAGGUAGACCAAAUAUGAGUAGAGUUGAUGCAACAAAUAAUAUGUCUAACAUUGAUUUAGAGGUGGAUGACAGUAACCAACUCAUGAGAAAUUGAUAAAGAUAAUCCGAUUUUCAUAUUCAAGGUUUGGAAUUACCUGAAUUUAAUCUCCAAUCUUAACUUCGAUGGAUUGUAGUGGACAAAUUUUGGUUCUAAUGAGAAAGCCAUCAAGUUUGUGGGCUCUUACUAUUGGAAGAAUUUGAGAUCUUCAAAACCAUAGUUUUUCCUAUCAAGCUUGAUUGAAAUAGGAUUUAGGUUAGAGGAAAAAGGAAUUGCAGUUGAUACCAUUGCAAUAUCGUAUUAGUUGCAAUGGUUGAUUGAGGAUUUGUUAAAGGAGAAGUUUCACUGGAUGAGAUAGAAAUAGGGCAAGAUUGGGUUGAUCAAUUGCCAUUUAUUUUAGUCAAGAAAGCACCAAUACCAAGUUACGAUACAAAAAUAGAAUUUAAAAUUUAAAGUAAAUAACUAUGAAAGGCUCUCAUAUUGUAAAUCAUAACUUUGAACUUUAUUUCAUAUAUAAUACUAAUUUACUUAACAAUCUUUAAUAACAAACUUAAUAGUAUAUUAAACUCAGUUUCUAACUACAAACUAACUAUACUUUACACAUAUGCACAGUUGGAUUUGACUUAUUUCAAAAUCAUGGCAUGUCAAAAUUAAAGAGUUAGGGAAUUCAUAUUCAACUAUAUCUUUCUUCUUCCAAAUAUGUUUUACAUUUCAAAAGAAUCUAAUAUAAAUUGAUAACAAUCAAUUAUUGAAAAAAUAGAGUAUAGGGGGUGUUUUCUUUACUAAAUCAGAGAUAUGACAUGAUCGAUGUUUAUAAUUGAAUUCAAGCAAUUUUGAAAAGGUCUUACAAUUUUAAUUUUGUAUUUUUUUUAUAUGUGAGAAUAAAAAUCUCAAAUUGGCAAAAAAAAAAAAAAAAGAGAAAAAAAUAGUUCAAUGUUGUAUAAAAAAUAAAAAAAAUUGAAUGAAGAUUAGCUUUUGGGAUAAUAUUUAUAGUUGAUUUAUCAAGGAAUCAACUUCUCCAAAAAAUAAAAUCACAAUGGCAAUGCUAACUAUGGUUUUUAUUUUUAUAAACAAAAAGUUCCCAUCUCAUCAAAUUAACAUAUAUAGCGGUCAACAAAUUUGAACUCAAAUUGAAUUUUUUAAUCAAAUAUUUGAGAUAACUAAGAUUUCUUGUGAAUACUUCCAAUUAUGAAUUUGAAAAAUAUGAGGAAUAUUCAUAAAAUAUAUUAAAGAAUUUAGGAUUUGUGAUAUUAAAAAUAUGGAAUUAAUUAAUAUAAUUUGAUUAAGAAAAAAAAAUUAACUAAUCAAACAGGCUCAUACUUGAAACAAUUGGGCUUCCAAGUCCCAUCUUUAUUUUUAAUUUUUUUUUAAUCUUUUUAACUUCGCAAACCCUUCCAUAUUUUUAAGGUUUGAGAAUUUUAUUAAAACUCUAAUAUUAGUAUGAUAGGUUUAAGUAUUGUAUUGUCCUACCUGAUUACAUAUAUAAUUAAAUUUUAUUUUUUAAUUUUUAAUCUAUGAAGAAUGAAAAAUUCAAUUCUUAUAGAAAUAAAUUAUAAAUUAUUAUAAUUUAAAAAAAAUAAUUAAAAAUUAAAUAAGGUUGGGUGGGCAAGGAAGGUACUAAAAAUUCUCUGCCCACUCAUGACGUCCCUCCCCCCAAAUUUAAACUUGAAGGUGACCUAUUUUAUAAUAGUGUCACAUACACGAUGUAGAACAAUUAUAAAGGCACAAAUCACAACUUGAAAAGUUAGUUGAUUUGAACGAAUAAAUAAAGCAAAUAAAUAUUAUAAUUAUCUUAAUUAAUUAUAAUAAUUAAAAUAAAUGAUAAUUAUUAAGGGAUAAUUAUUUUUAAAAAUUUUAAUUUUAAUAAUGUGGACCCCUCGUUUUGGGUCAACAGGAGACAUCUUUUUGGUUGGUUUGGAGGCUUGUAGACUUUUGCAAUAUUUUUGCCACCUUUCAGAGGGAGACACGUGGACAGGAGGUGAACUAUGAGUGAAGUGGUGAUUUUCCUGUAGGAGAGGGGAUUUUGUGUGAGGGGUUAGAGAGAGUUGGCUACAAGAGUGGCACGUUGAGGGGUUUUUGGAGAGGUGCGGAGGAGGCUUGGACGGCAAGAAAGGAAGCAAGGACAAGGAGAGCAAGAAAAGGAAAGAGCAGAGGAAAGGGAGAGCCCAAGGAAGGGAAGCCGAGCAAGCUUUGCUUGAAAAAACAAAAACAAAAAAACAAACUUGUCAUCCUUCCAUUACUUUUCACUCUGCUAUUAGCUUCAGUGACAGCUUCAGAUCCUACUGUGGAAAAGUUUGCCACAAUGUGUCUCUCUCAAUUCCGAGAUUCUUAUCCCAGUACCCACUGCCUUUUACACCCCAAACACCACUUCUUUCAGUGCUAUUUUGCAGUCUUCUGCCCAUAACCUCAGGUACCCCAAACCUGAGUUUUUAAAAACAAUUACAAAACAUAUAAAAAAAAAUUUUAAUUUGUUUUCUAUUUUUUAAAUAUAUUCUUAUUAAUAGUUUACCUUGAUGAAAAAACAAGUUUAUUUUUUAGACUUUGCUUUGAAAACAGGUUUUUACUAGAAUAACUUUUAAAGUGUUUUAGGUUAGUUUCUUUUUCUUUUUCUUUUUCUUUUGUUGAUAGUUUUUGAGCAAUAAUUAAAAAUAAAAAAUAUUUUGAUUUUUUUCAUUACACAUAGGUUUAUAAUAUAUUUAUAGAGAAUAAGCCUAGAAGAUUGCAUUUAAUAUUUGUGUUCAAUUUUAAUUUUUUUUUUUUAGUAUGGUUCUAAAAAUCUAUUUUUUAAAACGUGGGUGAAAGAGGCCCUUAAAUUCUCUUAUUUGUUAUGGGAUAAAAAAUACCAUAAAAAUCAAAUUUGAUUAUACUUUAUAUAUUUUUAAAUUCUUUGUUUCUUAUAUGAAAAAAUACAAGAAAGGAAAAGAAAAUAUGAAAAAAUCUUAGGCUUUAGUUAGUAACCAUUUUUAAAGAAAAACAAAUUCCUAACUUAAAAAAUAAUUCUAUCAAUUUUUGAUGAAAAAAACAAGUUUUUUCUAGAAUAAUUUUAAAGUGUUUUGAGUUGUUUCUUUUGAUAAGUUUUUGAGCAAAAUUUAAAAAUAAAAAAUAUUUUGAAAUUUUUUAAAUUAUACAUAAGUAUAUAAUAUAUUUAUAGAGAAUAAGCCUAAAAGAUGGCAUUUAAUAUUUGUAUUCAAUUCUGAAAACUUUUUUUAGUACAGUUUUAAAAAUCUAUUUUUUGAAAACUAUUUUUUAAAACGUUGAUGAAGGGCCACUCAAAUUCUCUUAUUUUUUAUGGGAUAAAAAACAAUAAAAAUCAAAUUUCAUUAAAAUUUAUAUAUUUUUAAAUUCUUUGUUUCUUACAUCAAGGUCAAGAGAAAUAAAUUUUAAAAACAAAAUUCUUUUAUCAUUUUUUCCCUUGAGAAGAAGAAGCAAAAGAAUAGUAUUGGAUGGUUGGUGGCCAAUCCAUUUACAAAAGGUAGACAACUCUACAUGCAAGUGGAGUUAAGUCUCAUGAUAGGCCGCACUCUUCGCUGCAUGAGGUUGAGGGUGUUCUUGUCACUUUAGGGAGCCCCAUAUUCAAAUGUUGUUAAAUUGUUUUGAGUAUGUCCGGCGAAAGACAGUUGUUGCAACAGCUGUGGUCAUAAUCCAUUCAUUCAAUGAUGUUAGGAUGUAUCAAACUGUGUUUGGUCUAUGGUCAUGCAGAAAAAAAACAGUUUUUUUUUUUUUUUUUUUUUAUUUUAAAAACGAGAGUGAUUGAUAAGAUGUUUUAAAAACAAAAAACAAAACACUUGCCACCUUUUAUAGCGAGGUUUUUGUUUUUGUCCCAAUUGGCUCGUAAUACCAUAGAUUUUUAUCAUAGACUUUUGUCCCAUUCAUAUGUAUUACAAUCAUACGUUAUAUACUCAACAAUUAAUUAUUAUAAUUAAAAUAAUGAUAACUAUGAUAAUUAGUAAGAUAUCUCUAGAAAAUUUAGAGAUAAUAUUAAAAUAAAAAUUUUAAUGAGACAAUUUAAAGAUUAAAGAUAAUUUUGAGAGUUCUUGAAGAAAAUUUGAAGAUUUCUUCGAGAAUCGAAGAAGAUUUGAAGAUUUCUUGAGGAAAAGAAGAUUUGAAGAUUCCCUUUUAUUAAAAAAAACUCUAUAAUUACUAUUAUUCUCUAAUAAUUCCUAAUUCUGCUUUAUUCCACUCAAGUAUAUGUAUGUCUUAAUUUCACUUCCAAGGGCAAAGUUAUAAAUCCUCUAUUCUAUUAAUUUGUACCAUGAUCUAAUUGCUUUAUGUCCUUAGUCACAUUGCUUCAUAUUUUUGUCCCAAUUAUGAGAUAUGGUGGACUCUAGAAUUUUAAUUGAGUUAAAAUGUUUUUAUUAGAUUAUUAAAAACUGGACAAACGCUCAAACCUAAUUCUCAAGUGCUCAAACUUGGCGCUUAAGCACUUUGAGAGCACUCAAGAAGGGGAAGCUUGAGUGUUUGAAACAUAUUUUUCCAAAUUUGAAUUCUCGAUUUUGUUUUAAGAAUUGGUUUUUGGAAACUUUAAUUACAUAUCUAUCCACUAGGGUUUCAUUCCUCUAUAAACAUUAUGCCUAAAAAAUUUCAUUAUUGAUGCAAAUUUGAAAAAGAGAUUAUUAGCCUUUACUACAUUCUAAAACUCCCAAGUUUUUAUAAUUCUCAUUCUUUGGGUUCGUGAGAAAAUAUGUAUCCUUUCAGGUAUUGAGAUAGUCUAUUGGUUGCACAUGCGUGCUGCAUUGAAAACUUGAAAACUAGUCUAUGUAUUAGUGAAUAAAACUUAGGGAUAAUAUAUAUCCACUAUGUAAAUUUGUAUAUUUUUCUUUUAACAGAAGAUUUGUGUUUUACGGUCUUUAAUCCUAUUAUUUUUUAUAUUUAUAUGAUCUUUGGGAGACUUUGUAGAUGGUUUUCCACAAAAAAAUUGUUGAUUUCUCUUCUUUCUUUCUAAUUAUUGAAGAAGAAUUAAAAAUAAAUAAAAAUUGUACUACAAAAAAGUUAUUACAUAUUCACCCAUCUCUUUGUUUCGUAAUCAAAAUGUACAAACUUUUAACAUGCUAUAUAAUUAAUUUAUAAAACGUGGAGAAAAUUUUCUAAAUGUAAUUAAGAUAGAGAAUUCCAAGCACAAUUAAGGUUGAUGGAUUUAGUAUGAGUUAAAGAGGAAUUAAAAAUAAAAAUUUUGAUUAAAAAAAAGUUAAUACAUAUUCACUCCUUUUAAGUGUUUUAUAAUCAAAAUGCACAAUCUUGUAGUAUUUCAUAGAAUUAACUUAUAAAAUGUGAAGAAGACUUCGAGAGUAUAAUUAAGAUAAAGAAUUCCUAGCACAAGAUUGAUGGGUUUUUUUGAGUGCAUUCAUCAUUGAGUUGUAAUUAUAUCAAAGUUGUUAAAAUAAUUUAUUAAAUUAUUAAAUAGGUUUCAUUCUUUUAAAAUAGGAGUGACAUUGGAAGUGAGACUACCAAGUCAAUAACCAAUGCUUUUGGACCACUUACAUAGUUCCAUGGAUGUCACUUUGGAUGGGACUGCAUUGAAGCCCUUUUCCAUCUCCUUACCCACUUAUUCUAAGAAGGUUUUUGCCCACCGAUUACUCUCCCUUCCUCAACCAUUACUUUUAUGAACCUCAUCCUCUUCUUCACAACUACCUUUUCUUCUUGCUCUCUUGGAGAAAAGAUGCAUUUUUUUUCACCUUAUGUUUUAAUGCUUUUUUGGGUGCAUUGCUUCACUCCCAUGGUGUUGUCCAUCAAUUUAGUUGAUGAGUUUGCUCUUAUUGCCUUAAAAUCCCAUAUCACAUAUGAUUCCCAGGGCAUUUUGGCAACAAAUUGGUCUACCAAAAGCUCCUACUGCAAUUGGUAUGGUAUUUCUUGCAAUGCUCCUCAACAAAGAGUUUCUGUAAUCAACCUCUCUAGCAUGGGUCUUGAAGGAACUAUUGCACCACAAGUGGGCAACCUCUCCUUUCUUGUUUCCCUUGAUCUUAGUAAUAACUACUUCCAUGACUCUCUUCCCAAGGAUAUUGGUAAGAUUCUCAUAAAUUUUAUCUACUUUAUGACAAUGCUCAUGUUUCUUGCUUCAAUAUUUAAUAUCAAUAAAGGCAAUUCAUGUUUGGUUCCCAAAAAUUUAAGAAAAAAUACGAGUGAAAAAAAGAAAAAGAAAAAAAGAGGAAAAGUAAAAGAAAAUAAAAAAUAAUUUUAAAAUCAACAAAUUAUUUUUGUAUUUUGUUUUAAAUUCAUUUUACUUAUUUUAACUUUUUUAUAUAAAGAUCAAAUAAUUUGAAAAAUACAAAAGUUUUAACUAAUUUUAAUUAUAAAUUAUUUUCUUCUCCAAUCUUGGGGCAUGGUUGGGAUUAUGAUGAUGUUUGUCUUUCAAAAAUGAUGAAAGGAAAACAAUUAAGUUGUGAUAAAGAUAGUUGAGUAAUUGGUAAAUUAUAGUUUCAAAAAUAAUAAUUAAAUAUUUGGUAAAUUGGAUUGCUAAAUUAUUAUGAUCAUGUUUGAUAUAAAAUUCAUAAUUAAAUAAAUUAUUAUACAAUUUAAAAAUUAGUUCAUUUUUUUUAUCAUUUCUUAAUUUUUUUUUCUUCUAUUUUGAAUGAAUUCAAGUAAACAUAAUCAUACUGGUUGUAAUAAUUUUUAUUUUAAAUUUUAGAAUAAGUAAUACCAAACACAAAUUAGAACAUCUUUCAUUUGAUAGUUCAUUUUAAAUAUAGAAACUUUUGAUCCAAAAAAAUUAAAUUAUUGAAAAAAAAAACAACAUAAUUUGAGGAAAUAUAUUAUACAUUAAAAUGAAAUAAAAUAUCUAAUAGAUAUGAAAUCAUUUCAUAUAUAUAUAUAACUUAAUUUAAUUUAAUAUAAUAUAGUUAAAGCUAUUAUAUAAUAUUUAUUUGUGACAAACAAUAGUAGAUAUUUUUGUUGUUAAUAUUCCCAAUAAAAAAUAAAAAUAAACCAUCAAUUAGCUAAUUAUAUUCUAUACUCCACAUUUGUGUUAAGUGUAUAGUUAGUUUCACAAAUUACUUGAUAAUAUAUUAUAGAGCAAGAGACAUUAUUGUACACAAUUCAAACCAUCAUAUAGGCUACCUAAAUGUUUGGCAACCAUCAAUAUGUGAUUCAUGAUAUGUUUUCCUCCAAAUUAGUGCUAUUCAUGACAAGUUUUGCUCAAUAUUAGUGCCUCUUUUAAAUAUUGUCGUUAUGCUUGAUUUCAAGAAAGUAUUAAGAAAAAAAUAUUAACGAAAAUAAUUUUUUAUAUAUGCUUUUACUAUGAAAAAUAUAUAAAAAAUAAAAUAUAAUUAAAAUCAAUUAAAACUUAUCUAUUUUUAAAUUAUUUAAUCUUUAUAUAGAAGAAUUAAAACAAGUGAAAUAGCUUAUAAAUAAUCUAUUGAUUUUAAAUCUACUUCCUAGUUUUCUUUACUUUUUUUAUUUUCAUUUUUCCUCUCUAUUUUCUUUUCCUCUUAUUUUCUUGGAAUCAAGCAAAACCUUUGACUAUGUUUGGUUCCCAAAAAAAUGUGAGGGAAAAAUAAAAUAAAAACAUAGAAGAAAAAAAAUAGAUUUAAAAUUAAUAAAUUAAUUUUAUAUAUUGUUUCAAAUUCAUUUAAAAAAAAUAGAUUUAAAGUAAAUAAAUUGAUUUUAUUUGUUUCUUCAAAUUCAUUUACAUAUUUUAAUCUUUCUAUAUAAGAAAUUAAUAAUUUAAAAAUGCAUAAAAUUUUAAUUAAAUUUAAUUACAUUUUAUUAUGGUUCUUAUUUUCUAUAGUAAAAUCAAUCAUGAGAAACUAAUUUUUUUUAAAUAUUUUUUUUCUUUCUUUUAUUAUCGGAACCAAACAUAUUCUAUAUGUUGAUGAUAAUAAUAUUUCAAAUCAUUUUUUUCAGGUAAGUGCAAGGAGCUUCAACAGCUGAAUUUAUUUAAUAAUAAAUUGGUUGGAGGCAUUCCAGAAGCCAUUUGUAAUUUAUCAAAACUUGAAGAGCUAUAUCUUGGCAAUAAUCAGUUGAUUGGUGAAAUUCCAAAGAAAAUGAAUCAUCUUCAGAAUCUGAAGGUAUUGUCAUUCCCAAUGAACAACUUAACAGGUUCCAUACCGGCCACCAUUUUCAAUAUAUCUUCUUUGCUCAAUAUUAGUCUCUCCAAUAAUAACCUCUCUGGGAGUCUUCCCAAGGAUAUGCGCUACGCCAAUCCAAAGCUCAAGGAGCUUAAUCUUUCAUCAAAUCAUUUGAGUGGAAAGAUCCCCACUGGUUUAGGCCAAUGUAUACAGCUUCAAGUAAUUUCCUUAGCA